RNAcentral lists this long non-coding RNA (294 nucleotides) under Elaeis guineensis (African oil palm). RNAcentral describes it as "long non-coding RNA (EGUI_LNC041185)". The record is from RNAcentral. Lineage: Eukaryota; Viridiplantae; Streptophyta; Magnoliopsida; Arecales; Arecaceae.
AAAAUCAAUAUCUUAAUUCUAAAAAGGAAUAUAAGAUUUUUUGCCAAAAUAUCAACUAUUAAUGAUUUAAGUGAUCUAUCAUAAGAUCAUAAACAAACUCUAAUAUGCUCUCAGUAAACAAACAUUCGAACAAAAGGUCAAUACACAAUCUUACAUUAUUUCCAACAAAUAGAGAUGCAUAAGCUUCAAUUUUAGAAGAAGAGAAAUUCACCUAUAUAUAUUUCAACUCCAAGAUCAAAAUUGAUGGUUCACUAACUAAGAUUCAAAAUGCUAAAAAAAUUUUCUUAGCAUGGU